This 407-nucleotide ribosomal RNA is filed under the name uncultured bacterium. RNAcentral describes it as "partial 16S ribosomal RNA". It matches the Rfam family "Bacterial small subunit ribosomal RNA", at positions 28 to 526 of the family's 1533-position model. The record is from RNAcentral.
GACGAACGCUGGCGGCGUGCCUAAUACAUGCAAGUAGAACGCAGUUGCGAACGGGUGAGUAACGCGUAGGUAACUGCCUCAUAGCGGGGGAUAACUAUUGGAAACGAUAGCUAAUACCGCAUAUUGUGAGAUGGAACUGCGUUGUAUUAGCGAGUUGGUGAGGUAAAGGCUCCCCAAGGCGAAGAUACAUAGCCUACCUGGGAGGGGGAUCGGGCACACAUGGAACUGUACACGGGCCAGACUCCGACGGUAUGUAGCAGUAGGGAAUCUUCGGCAAUGGGCUGAAGUCGUACCGAGCAACGCGGCGUAAGUGAAAAAGGUUUUCGGAUCGUAAAGCUCUGUUGUUAGAGAAGCGGUACCUAACCAGAAAGGGACGGCUAACUACGUGCCAGCAGCCGCGGUAAUUC